Numida meleagris (helmeted guineafowl) is the source of this 1862-nucleotide long non-coding RNA. The record is from Ensembl. NCBI's taxonomy places the organism in Eukaryota, Metazoa, Chordata, Aves, Galliformes, Numididae.
AGCACAUGUCACAAGUUUCAAGUCUGUUUAGUUCAAAGAAGUUGUUCAGGUUUAUUUAGAGUUAACGUGCUAUUUUCUCUUUGUUAAUUUGGAACAGCUUUAACUCCUGCUAUGUUAUCUUGCAAAACCAUCACGCAGCCUACUCCAUCCUGCUGUAGUCCUGGUCAUCCCUUGGCUAUAUCACCAAAUGUGGCUUGAAGAUGUCUCUGGGUAGUACUGCGACCCAGCAGCAGGGUGUAGGAGUUCUUUGGAGGAUGUGAAAUCCGAUCAAUGCCACAGGAAGAAUGGGAUACCCAAAGCCUGGCUGUUGGGGUCCAGGUUGCACCAAAGAGCUUGAUGAACUCUGAGGUCAGCUGGAGUCACAGGAUGGAAACGGACUUCAUGAGUGUGUGGCAGUUGAAGGGCCCUCCAGCACAUGAUGCAAUGGAAGGAAUGGCAGAAUUUUCUGCUCUGAGAUCUUGUCUGUGACAAAUGCCAGCUGACAAAUUCCACGUUCAGCACUUGGGAUGCACGUGGCAGGAUGGGGACUGUGAGAAGAGGAGAUUUUCUCUUCGGUGGCAUUAAUUACAGGUCGAUCUUCUCCCAUUCUGCAUGCUGUGCAUGGAGGUAAGUGUUUGCAGUCCCCGCUGCUGGUUCGAUGAGGUUUUUCUGGUAGAGUUUGCAGCAGGACCUUCCAGUGUGGUAAUUCAGGUAUAAUAACUUCUCCUCCCCUGAUGGGGCUGACUCGUGGAAUCCAUUAAGCUGUGUGGUUCUGGCUGUGUUCCUGGUUUCCUCGAGAUAAAGGCUUUUUAGUUUUUUGCUUGAAGUAAAUGUUUAUUUGUUAUCAACAGUUUAGAGUCAGCAAUUGUCAGCAUUUUGAACCUGAGGAUAGUUCCGACUAGAAAACAUCCAUAAGUUGGUUGUCUGAUGCUCAUGGUUUAAGUGGAAAAGCCAAGCACAGUACUUAAUCCAGCCCCUACAAUUUCCUCCACCUGAAACCCUGAACCAGCUCAAAAUCAAGGGGUAAAAAUAUAGCAGAGGAUCUUCUGACUUAAGGGAUCGGAAGGAUUUUCUCAGGGUAUGAGAGCUUCCCGACACCACUUCAGGAUUUGAUUCCACAGUACCCUGUUUCUAUCUCUGCUUAAUACAAAGAGUUCCCAACUUAUUAAUACUGCCCUUCGGUCUCCCCUUGUCCUCUGCCCAGAGAACUCUGUAGAUGUGUGUUCACUGGACAUCUGCUCCAGGGGAUUAGUUCCAUUGAAUCCAUUACUUCUGGGUGCCGUCCCAUCUCCAGUAUACCCCAGCUGCAGGCUUCUGCAUCCUUAUAUGAGUGUUUCCCAGAGCACUCUCUCUAGGAUGGACAGGUUAAAAUAAUGAGGAAAAUGUCAUUUUCAAGGGCUGGCCACUGUCUGUUUUCCAGAUAGACUUCUCCAGGAGUACAGAAGAAGUAAAAAAAGCAAAAGAAAGGAAUACAAAAUAACCAUCAACUAGGUUAUACGUACAAAAUAUGUUUAGGGGUUUGGCUCAAAUGAAAAUGAGGAGCCUUCUGGGAAAACUACAGAUUUCAUUUUGAUUCUAUAUUGAAACCCCCAUAGUCAGUGGAAAUGUGCUUGGAUUUGCACAGGCUUCUGCUAAAUUACUUUGAAAGAAAAUAUCAUUUCCAAGCCAAAUUAUAUGCUGGGAGGAAUAAUUUUCCUGAUUUUGAAUGGAUUUUUUCCAGGAGAAAAUCUGGCCGAUCUUGCUUAACUAAAUCACAACUUGGACCAUAGGCCUGGAAUCAGGAUCCAUUUGGAUGCUUUAACCUCCAGUGAAUAGCGAAUAGAAUAUGCUGAUGUUAUGCAGUGCAAAAUAAAACAAUAUGUGUAAUGAGCUGAUUUAAAAUG